Molecule: long non-coding RNA, 624 nt
Filed under: Callithrix jacchus (white-tufted-ear marmoset)
Lineage: Eukaryota; Metazoa; Chordata; Mammalia; Primates; Cebidae
Description: lncRNA (ENSCJAG00000084246.1)
Source: RNAcentral
GUAACAGUUAAGAGGAAAAGAUAUAUUGUCAUUGUUACUUGAUUAGUUCUCCUGAGUCACUGUAACGAUAUGUCAAUAAUUGACUGAAAUAUUCCGUUAUGUCUUCCACCUUGGCACCGUUGACGCGGUUUAUGAGGCACGAGAAAAUGUUUAAGAACAGUUAUUCCUAAACAUUUCACUGUGCCUGAGUCUGAAAUAUUAAAACCCACGAGAGAAGCAAAUUUAUUAUUACUGUUGUAACCGUUGCGAGAAAGGUGAACAAGCAAGCAGGAGUCCUGACUAAUCUCAAAGCUUUUAAGGACGGAGUGAAGGUGGGAAGCAGCGCUCGGAGCUGGAUCCCCAAAGCCUGCUGUGGAUGAAACCUGCUGCCCUCACACAAGAGCUGUGGAGAUAAAGUUGCAUAAAUUUUAGCAAAAGAAGAUGAUGAUAUAAAACCUGCCUCCAAGGCAAGAGACAAAAUAACUCAAAACGGUAAAAACAUAAGUGGCCAGUGUUAAUCGAUAUUUCAGCAUGUUGUACGCCCAGGAACUUAACCCUCCUUAGAAUCGUAUGCAGAUACGCGUGGUUAAUAUGAAGUUGACGAACAUUCGUAAGGUAAUUAAUAGGUUUUAAACCCUUGGAAUC